Molecule: ribosomal RNA, 492 nt
Filed under: uncultured bacterium
Lineage: Bacteria
Description: partial 16S ribosomal RNA
Rfam family: Bacterial small subunit ribosomal RNA
Source: RNAcentral
AGUGAACGCUGGCGGUAGGCCUAACACAUGCAAGUCGAACGGCAGCACAGUAAGAGCUUGCUCUUACGGGUGGCGAGUGGCGGACGGGAGAGGAAUACAUCGGAAUCUACUUUUUCGUGGGGGAUAACGUAGGGAAACUUACGCUAAUACCGCAUACGACCUACGGGUGAAAGCAGGGGAUCUUCGGACCUUGCGCGAUUGAAUGAGCGGAUGUCGGAUUAGCUAGUUGGCGGGGUAAAGGCCCACCAAGGCGACGAUCCGUAGCUGGUCUGAGAGGAUGAUCAGCCACACUGGAACUGAGACACGGUCCAGACUCCUACGGGAGGCAGCAGUGUCGAAUAUUGGACAGUGGUCGCAAGCCUGAUCCAGCCAUACCGCGUGGGUGAAGAAGGCCUUCGGGUUGUAAAGCCCUUUUGUUGGUAAAGAAAAGCAGCAGGUUAAUACCCCGCUGUUCUGACGGUACCCAAAGAAUAAGCACCGGCUAACUUCGUG